AUUGAACGCUGGCGGAAUGCUUUACACAAGCAAGUCGAACGGCAGCACGGACUUCGGUCUGGUGGCGAGUGGCGAACGGGUGAGUAAUGUAUCGGAACGUGCCCAGUCAUGGGGGAUAACGUAGUGAGAAUUACGCUAAUACCGCAUACGAUCUAGGGAUGAAAGCGGGGGAUUGCAAGAUCUCGCGCGAUUGGAGCGGCCGAUAUCAGAUUAGGGAGUUGGUGGGGUAAAGGCCCACCAAGCCAACGAUCUGUAGCUGGUCUGAGAGGACGACCAGCCACACUGGAACUGAGACACGGUCCAGACUCCUACGGGAGGCAGCAGUGGGGAAUUUUGGACAAUGGGCGAAAGCCUGAUCCAGCCAUUCCGCGUGCAGGAUGAAGGCCCUCGGGUUGUAAACUGCUUUUGUACAGAGCGAAAAGGUUUCUACUAAUACUAGGAGCUCAUGACGGUACUGUAAGAAUAAGCACCGGCUAACUACGUGCCAGCCGCCGCUGUAA
This 500-nucleotide ribosomal RNA is filed under the name uncultured bacterium. RNAcentral's name for it is "partial 16S ribosomal RNA". It matches the Rfam family "Bacterial small subunit ribosomal RNA", at positions 30 to 523 of the family's 1533-position model. The record is from RNAcentral.